UACGGAGGGUGCGAGCGUUGUCCGGAAUCACUGGGCGUAAAGGGUGCGUAGGCGGGUCUUUAAGUCAGAGGUGAAAUCCUGGAGCUCAACUCCAGAACUGCCUUUGAUACUGAGGGUCUUGAGUAUGACAGAGGUGAGUGGAACUGCGAGUGUAGAGGUGAAAUUCGUAGAUAUUCGCAAGAACACCAGUGGCGAAGACGGCUCACUGGGUCAUUACUGACGCUGAGGCACGAAAGCGUGGGGAGCAAACAGG
Molecule: ribosomal RNA, 253 nt
Filed under: uncultured bacterium
Lineage: Bacteria
Description: partial 16S ribosomal RNA
Rfam family: Bacterial small subunit ribosomal RNA
Source: RNAcentral